RNAcentral lists this ribosomal RNA (252 nucleotides) under uncultured bacterium. RNAcentral describes it as "partial 16S ribosomal RNA". It matches the Rfam family "Bacterial small subunit ribosomal RNA", at positions 524 to 775 of the family's 1533-position model. The record is from RNAcentral.
UACGAAGGGGGCUAGCGUUGUUCGGAGUUACUGGGCGUAAAGGGCGCGUAGGCGGCGCACCAAGUCAGGCGUGAAAGCCCUGGGCUCAACCCGGGAAUUGCGCUUGAGACUGGUGUGCUUGAGUACGGGAGAGGAUAGUGGAAUUCCCAGUGUAGAGGUGAAAUUCGUAGAUAUUGGGAAGAACACCGGUGGCGAAGGCGGCUAUCUGGACCGUAACUGACGCUGAGGCGCGAAAGCGUGGGGAGCAACAGG